CUUGCUGGGUGGAUUAGUGGCGAACGGGUGAGUAACACGUGAGUAACCUGCCCUGGACUCUGGGAUAACCCCGAGAAAUCGGAGCUAAUACCGGAUAUGACCUUUCCUCGCAUGAGGGUUGGUGGAAAGUUUUUCGGUCUGGGAUGGACUCGCGGCCUAUCAGCUUGUUGGUGAGGUAAUGGCUCACCAAGGCGUCGACGGGUAGCCGGCCUGAGAGGGUGACCGGCCACACUGGGACUGAGACACGGCCCAGACUCCUACGGGAGGCAGCAGUGGGGAAUAUUGCACAAUGGGCGCAAGCCUGAUGCAGCAACGCCGCGUGCGGGAUGACGGCCUUCGGGUUGUAAACCGCUUUUAGUAAGGAAGAAGGGGAGCUUGCUCCUUGACGGUACUUGCAGAAAAAGGACCGGCUAACUACGUGCCAGCAGCCGCGGUAAUACGUAGGGUCCGAGCGUUGUCCGGAAUUAUUGGGCGUAAAGAGCUCGUAGGCGGUUUGUCGCGUCUGCUGUGAAAUCCCGAGGCUCAACCUCGGGCCUGCAGUGGGUACGGGCAGACUUGAGUGGUGUAGGGGAGACUGGAAUUCCUGGUGUAGCGGUGGAAUGCGCAGAUAUCAGGAGGAACACCGAUGGCGAAGGCAGGUCUCUGGGCACU
This 651-nucleotide ribosomal RNA is filed under the name Agromyces binzhouensis. RNAcentral's name for it is "bacterial SSU rRNA". It matches the Rfam family "Bacterial small subunit ribosomal RNA", at positions 79 to 737 of the family's 1533-position model. The record is from RNAcentral. Lineage: Bacteria; Bacillati; Actinomycetota; Actinomycetes; Micrococcales; Microbacteriaceae.